RNAcentral lists this ribosomal RNA (467 nucleotides) under Henicops dentatus. Its description in RNAcentral is "eukaryotic LSU rRNA". It matches the Rfam family "Eukaryotic large subunit ribosomal RNA", at positions 1507 to 1897 of the family's 3401-position model. The record is from RNAcentral. Lineage: Eukaryota; Metazoa; Arthropoda; Chilopoda; Lithobiomorpha; Henicopidae.
UUUCGUGUGAACAGCAGUUGAACACGAGUCAGUCGGUCCUAAGGAAUAGGCGAAAGCCGUUCUGAAGUUUUUGUGUAUAUAAAUGUUCGAAAAAGUGAGAUUUGAGAAAAACAAUUGACCGAAAGGGAAUCGGGUUAAUAUUCCCGAACCUGGACACGGAGAUCGGCUUUAUCUUGUACCUUUACCGGUCAAGUGAGUCGAAUGCGGUAACGCAAACGAACUCGGAGACGUCGGCGGUAGUCCCGGGAAGAGUUGUCUUUUCUUUGUAAGGAACGGACUCCCUGGAAUCGGCUCGCCCGGAGAUAGGGACGUUGUUUCCGUAAAGCACCGCGGCUCUUGCGGUGUCCGGAGCACUGCCGCCGGCCCUUGAAAAUCCGAGGGAGAGAUACUUGUAAUGAUUUUCGUGCCAGACCGUACCCAUAUCCGCAGCAGGUCUCCAAGGUGAACAGCCUCUAGUCGAUAGAACA